AAAAUUGCGGGGGGUUUAGCGUCGCCGCCUGAGGGAUUACGGCCUUCGAAAUUCCCAAACCUCUUUCACCCAUGACGAAGCGCAAGUGACGGUAGUGGGAGAAUAAGCACCGGCCAACUACGUGCCACCAGCCGCGGUAAUACGUAGGGUGCGAGCGUUGUCCGGAAUUACUGGGCGUAAAGAGCUCGUAGGCGGUUUGUCGCGUCGUCUGUGAAAUCCCGCACCUCAACUGCGGGCUUGCAGGCGAUACGGGCAGACUCGAGUACUGCAGGGGAGACUGGAAUUCCUGGUGUAGCGGUGAAAUGCGCAGAUAUCAGGAGGAACACCGGUGGCGAAGGCGGGUCUCUGGGCAGUAACUGACGCUGAGGAGCGAAAGCGUGGGUAGCGAACAGGAUUAGAUACCCUGGUAGUCCACGCCGUAAACGGUGGGCGCUAGGUGUGGGUUUCCUUCCACGGGAUCCGUGCCGUAGCCAACGCAUUAAGCGCCCCCGCCUGGGGAGUACGGCCGCAUGGCUAAAACUCAAAUGAAUUGACGGGGG
RNAcentral lists this ribosomal RNA (539 nucleotides) under Rhodococcus sp. EKW. RNAcentral's name for it is "bacterial SSU rRNA". It matches the Rfam family "Bacterial small subunit ribosomal RNA", at positions 368 to 919 of the family's 1533-position model. Lineage: Bacteria; Bacillati; Actinomycetota; Actinomycetes; Mycobacteriales; Nocardiaceae. The record is from RNAcentral.